GAUGAACGCUGGCGGCGUGCCUAAUACAUGCAAGUCGAGCGAACAGACGAGGAGCUUGCUCCUCUGACGUUAGCGGCGGACGGGUGAGUAACACGUGGAUAACCUACCUAUAAGACUGGGAUAACUUCGGGAAACCGGAGCUAAUACCGGAUAAUAUAUUGAACCGCAUGGUUCAAUAGUGAAAGACGGUUUUGCUGUCACUUAUAGAUGGAUCCGCGCCGCAUUAGCUAGUUGGUAAGGUAACGGCUUACCAAGGCGACGAUGCGUAGCCGACCUGAGAGGCGAGGAAGAGAAAAGAGAACGGAGCCGCGGGCCAGAUUACUACGGGAGGAGGCAGGGGGGAAGAUGGGAAAAGGGUGGCAAACCUGAUCAAUCUAUAACGAGUGGGGGAAGAAGGUAUUAGGGUCGUAAAGCCAUUGUAUUGGGAAAGAAAAGAAGCAGGUUAAUACCCCGCCGUUCUGACGGGACGCAAAGAAGAAGCAGAGGCUAACUUCGUG
Molecule: ribosomal RNA, 497 nt
Filed under: uncultured bacterium
Lineage: Bacteria
Description: partial 16S ribosomal RNA
Rfam family: Bacterial small subunit ribosomal RNA
Source: RNAcentral